CUGGAACAAGUGAUCAAAUUCGUAGAUGUCGGAAGCGAUUCUCUAGUGGCGUUUUAGCAAUCGUUGAUGAUGAUGAUGAUUCAAAUAUUUGCUUGUACCUCAUCCUUGCUUCGUCGGCAUUUAUUAUAAUCCGAGGUUCACGUCUCACAGUCACAGAGCCGUUCUUCUCUGCUUCGGCUCUAGCUUUGGCUCUCUGGGCACUUUUCUUCAUCCUAUUCAUCGCAGCUUCGAGACGCAUCUUCUUCAAAAGCUCAGGUUUACCUCUCACAAAGUACUGCUUAUGUCCGAAUUCCAAGUGCUCAGAUCCCUUAAUUCUUACAAAUCCCUACCAACCAACAAGAAACUCAGAUUCAAAACUGCAAAAUUCCAAAAAAAAAAAAAAAAAAAAAAAGGAGAAAACUUACGUAUGUGUCAAGUUCGGUGAGAAACUGUGACAGAUUGCAGCAAAAGAAUCUCUUAAGAAUCUUUUUGGUGAAUAGCUCAUUAGGAUUCCAGAUGACAAAACUCUUGUUGUUUUUGCUCCAUGAGAUUGUUGAAUCCAGUGAAGGAUCAUCCACAAUCUCAUAUAUUGCGACGUGGAACUGCUUCAUCCCCGCAAUAGCUUCAAGCCCUAAACACCCGAUGAAAACACAAUCCCAGAUCUGGAUACCAACCCUAGAUUAUCGAGAAGACGCAAGCGUGUGAACCAUCUUAUGCCUUUGGGCCUUUUAAUGAGCUUUUACAUUUGUUUCCUUAUAUUGGGCUUUUACGAAUUACUAGAUUUUUAACCGUGCUACGCAGAUAAGAAAUUAUAUGUAUUUUUUAAUUCUAAAAAAUAAUAUAUAAUAUUGUAUUACAUUAUUUAAAAAAUAUAAAAUAAGACUACAUAACAUAAAUAUAUUUUAUAAAUUUUCUUUGUAGAAAUCAUUAUGUUGUUUGAUUGUUCUACAUGAUUCACAUAUUUGCAUAGUUAUUUGUAAUAGAUGAAUAACUGUAUUUUUAUUAUCAGUAAAUAAUAUAUAUUUAUUAUAUAAUAUAAGAAAAAUAAAAUUAUUUACUUUCAAAACAAACUUAUCUCAUAUUGGGGAUUCGGUUAUAGACAUAUCAUAUUCGAAUGAGACAUUUUAAGUUAACAAUCUUUUAACAGUCAAGAAACAAAUCUGAAUAUCAAAACAUUAUCUCAUACGAUCUAUAUUCAAAACAUUAUCUCAUACGAUCUCUUUGUGGAAUAACUGCUCAGAAAAAAUAGAAUUUAGGCAUAAAAAAGACUGAAAAUUGAUGUGCAGAUGUGUUAUCUAAGUUAGCUUUACAAAGUACUAUUCAUAGUUCAUAUAUCAUUUAUGUCAAUCCUAUUAAUUUGUCCAUCCUUUCUUAAACAUCUUGAAAAAACUGAUGCUAAUUAAUAAUAAACUUUUGGCUGGCAAAAAAAAUCAAAUUUGUCUAAUUAUCGUUUAAUUUGUCUAACUGAUAUAGAUAUGUAUUUCUCAAUUCUAAAAAAAAUAAUGUAUAAUAUUGUAUUACAUUAUUUAAAUAAUAUAAAAUAAGAAUACAUAACAUAAAUAUAUUUUAUAAAUUUUAUUUGUGGAAAUCAUUAUGUUAUUUGAUUGUUGUACUUGAUUCACAUAUUUGCAUAGAUAUUUGUGAUAGAUGAAUAACUAUAUUUUUAUUAUCAGUAAAUAAUAUAUAUUUAUUAUAUAAUAUAAAAAAAUAAAAUUAUUUACUUUUUAAACAAAGUUGUCUCAUGUUGGGGAUUCAGUUAUAGACAUAUAAUAUUCGAAUGAGACAUUUUUACAGUUAUCAAUCUUCUUAACAGUCAAGAAACAAAUCUGAAUAUCAAAACAAUAUCUCAUACGAUCUCUUUGUGGAAUAACUGCUCUGAAGAAAUUGAAUUUAGGCAUCAAAAAGAACUGGAAAUGAUGUGCAGAUGUGUUACCUAAGUCAGCUUUACAAAGUACUACUAUUCAUAGUUCAUAUAUCAUUUAAAUCCAUCAUUUCUUAAACAUCUUGAAAUAACUGAUGCUAAUUAAUAAUAAACUUUUGGAUGGAAAAAAUCAAAUUUGUCUAAUUACCGCUUAAAUACUUUAUUAAUAUUGUCUAAUUUUUAUUUUUAUUUUGUUAAUUUUAGAGUUUUUUGUAUUUAAGAUUUUUUUCAUAUUAAGCUUAUAUUUCUUUCACAUAAUAUAUAUAUGUCAUAAAAAUUACCAUCAAAUCAGUUUUACUUAUUUAUUAUUUUGUUUUUAAUGAAAAUACACUUUUAAAAUAAUUUAAUUUAUAAUAAAAUUAUAUAUUAAUUUUUUGUAUUCUAACAAUUUGAUUGAUUUAAUUAAUUUGCUUUGGUGGAUAACUUAAAAAGUUUUCAUAUGAAUCGGAGAAAGCAAGCUUAUGUUGUUAUAUUAUAUUAUUUGUGUAUAUGGAAUCUAUAUAUAAUGCUAGUGUAAUAAAGAAAAAAUAUUAUUUUUUUUGUAACUUCAAAAAGAUACAUUAUUACAAUUUGAAAUUAAUCAAAAUUGAAUAAAAUGGUAAUUAAAUAAAUCUAAUUGUUUUUUUUAUCUUCUUUAAUUGGAUUCUCAUGAAAAGAAAUCGAUAGGUUAAAUAAAUGUUUCAAAAAAAUUUGUGUUAUUGUUUUGUCUUUAAAUUACAAAAUUUAUUGAAUUGAUAUAUUUAAUUAUUGCACUCUUAAAUAAUAUUUUAUUAAGACAUUAGAGAACUAUGUUUUGAGUUGUUUUGUCAAAAUUGUACAAAAAUCUAUGCUUUUUCAUAUUUAUCACGAAAUUUAUAUGUUAAACUUACUUUUACAAAAUUCUUAACUUUGUCAUGAAAACAAAAAUCUAUGCUUUUUCAUAUUUGUCAAUGUUCUCAUACUUUCAAAGAAUAUACUUUCUUGUAGGAGGCGCAAACAUAUGCUCAGGAGAACAGUCUUUUCUUCAUGGAAACUUCAGCAAAAACCGCAGCUAAUGUCAAGGAGAUAUUCUAUGAAAUUGGUGAGCUAUCGACCUAUCGUUACACUUUAAGAUUCAAAUUCAAACAGUUUUUUUUUAAUGCUUCUAAUACUAAAUGGUGUUAUACCUUUUUCUCUUUUGACUGGGACAGCAAGAAGGUUACCAAGAGUACAACCAACAGAAAAUCCAACAGGAAUGGUUCUACCAGAUAGGGCCAUGGAUAGGGGAGCGAGUUCAUCUUGUUGUGCUUAGUUAUAUGUAAUGGAAUACAUGCACUUCCCUUAAAGGGGACCUUCUGGUCAGUCAAUAUUGAGUUAUGGACUUGUGUGUUUUGAAUAUCUUUGCUUUGUUUUGCUUGUGUGGACAUUUGAUUUACCAAUUAAAAAGGGUUGUACAUGAAGAUAUUUCAUAUUGAAAUAUGAUGUCUACCGCAUAUUGGAACUAUGUAUCCAAUUGUCAAAACACCAAGUAUUUUCAAGUUUUAGGAACUCUAGAAUGUUUUUUUUUCCAUUUGAGCUUCCUGAUUCUCACAAGUUUGUGUGACAGUAUUCCACAUCAUCGCCAGGUAAAGUUAAUAACUUUCUCAUUAUUGAAGAUGUAACAACUUUCUCAUUGAAGAAAUUCAGGAUCAUCAGACUCUGCACAUGGUUCCAAUAGCUAGGGCCCUACAUGUAGCAUAACACCAGUUUUUAAGAAGACACUAAUGAAUGAUUAAGUCGGUUAUUACUUUCCGUGGUGGUUACAUUUUAUACAUUUAAAAUUGUGGACUGGGCACCGAAUACCCUAUAAACAAAUAAUAAAGGUAAAGCCCAAUAGCAACCCACCAAUAAAAAUACGAAAAAGGUUUAUAGGGUUUCUCAGAAAAUUACGCAGAUCAAAGUGGAAAUGUCGGACUAUGCUUCUCCCGAAAAAUCGCCCUUCACUAUUUUCUGUGAGUAUUCAGCUCUGAAGCAUUCAACCAUACAGUUAGCCCAUAGUUUUGACACCAAACUCCAGGAAUUGAGACAUUUCAACCGCAAAACUGUAAGUUUCUAUCGGGAGUUCUAAGCUAUGUUUUUGGCCUAGAUCGCGCUUAUAUCGUUUUGUCUGACUUUUUUUUGUUGUUAUCGCUCAUAUCGUUUGUGCUUACAUUAUUUUUGUCUGUGACUUUUUUUGGAUUUGUUUUUUUUUUUUUUUGAUUUAAGGGCCCCACCUGAGAAUCUCAGUUGUUUCCUAUUUUGUUUUUUGGUCUCAUAUUUUUUUUUUAUUGCAGACCACCUCCAAAGAUGAGCUCAGAGCUUCCAUAAGGUGCAUUGGCAGAUGCAUUGACAGUUUUGAGGAAUCUUUUACUGAGCAUGCUGUAGUGAUCGAUGGUAAAGUGGAUCGACCUGUGGUCAACUUUUCUGAAGAUUUGACCAACGAUCAGCUCCGGUCAAAUGCAAAGCUCCUUUUGAAGUAUUUCAAGAAACGUACCCUCCGCUACUUCUAUGACGCUUUCUUCCCUGAUCCUCUGGAUCUGCAUAUCGAUGCUGUGCCCAAGUGUGAUUUCAUCAGGUCUCAUCUCGAAAACUUUGAGUCUCUCAUUGACCGUGUCAUGAUGGAAGCUUAUGCCUGCAAAACAAGUUCUGAAGAUGAAUAGUUAUCAUUUAUGCUGUGGAUGGAUGUACUUACCUAAGUGAUGGAUCGAUUGGCUUAUUUUAUUUAACUUUGAUGUGGAUUUGUGUUAGUUUGUCACACUCCUAAUGAUGUGCCACGUUUUUAUGUUACUAUGUCUCACUCUCAAACUAAUGGAUCUGUGUUAUAUGUCUUAUGUGUUAAGUGUUUUUCUUUCCAGUCAUCCAAAUGAGUCUUUCUUAACUUCCUUCCUACAAUAUUUACAAUCAAACACACACACUCUAGAAGAAGAGUAAGAAAAACAAUAAACCCCCAUUGACAGCACACAUAGUCUUAACUCCAAACCUUAACGUUCUCCAACUGAAAGAUGAACUGAUUCCAAGCAAAUCAUCUCUUUUAAUGAGUCAAAAGUGGUGCACAAGACAAAACAACUCUUUGUAAUCAUUGUCCCCAAAAAUGCGCUCUUCCUUUUCUGUUUCAGAGCGCCACCAUCUCCAAAAUAGCUGACUGAGCUUUACUUGAAACUUCUCACCAGCAAGGUUUUGUAUCCCAGUUUUGCAUCAUUCUCUGUUAUCCAAAUGAAUGCUCUUUCUUUCCCCGGCGCCAUACAUCACUCCUCUUUGAUAUAAGAAUAUCUCCAGGACACUCAUCUCUGAAAUAAUAGCUCUAUCAUUUCGACCCUUGUAGCCUAACCAGUGUUUAAGAGUUCUAAAAAAGAUACUAAUGAUUGAGUUAUAAAUAAUUUUCUUGUAAUAAAACAAAUGAAUUGUCACUGUUCAAUGACAUGAUAAAUAUAAUUAAAUUAUUUUGUUUCUUUAUUGAAUCUGAUUUUAAAAAGAAAAUUCUAACUUUGUUGGGAAUAACAAGACAUAGAAACCCCACAAGGGCAUAUGCUUCCAAGAAUCCAAUUUAUGUCAAAUAUCACAUUGUGACAAUAAAUUGUUUCUAUAUACUCUGUUACCAAAUUGGGAUUCAGUGAUUUUUUAAUCCACAUGCUUCCAAUUAUGAGACAAACCUCAAAAGGCACAUUAUAAUAAGAACAAUGAUUACUAUUUAAUAAAAAUUUCAUUGCUAUUCCCAGACACACAUGUCAUGAUUAUGCUUAACAUAUUAAAUACGAGUCGAGUAAAUCCAGGAGCUAAGCUAAUUAAAUAAAGGUUCACUAAAGAGUAUAUAAAAUCCAUAGGCUAUGCCUAUCAGGUAGUUAGUUAACACGAUUCAUAUAAAAUCCACAAGAUAAGUAUGAUUGAAACAACAGUCUCAACAUAACAAACAACACAAACACAACAGACAGCUACUACAGUCUAACAUAACAAACAGCUACGAAUAUUCACUCUUUCUUCUUCAUGCUUGCUCAUCUUCCUCAUUUUUCUUUUCCUCUUGGUUAUCCUCAUCUUCAUCCUCAUCCCCAUCUCCAUCCUCAGAGGUGUUUAAGCAAUCAUAGCAUGGAAGAGAAGAGGCGUCGGUCUGCUGCUAAGUAUGAGGAAAACGAAACUCGAAAGAGAAGGAGAACAGCUGAAUAGCCAGCCACAUCCCUCUGUUAAAAGUUUUGUGUUGAACCAUGGUGGUGUGAUAAGUCUGUCCGCUGUGAUUCUCCAUGGUUGAAAUUUUGCUCUGUACUGGCUUCUACCUGUUUUUUUUUUUUUAAUGAUAGAUAAAUGUGUUAAAUACAGAGAUUUUUUAUUCUGACAUUGGAAUUAGGACAUGUUAGACGGGUAUUUCAUACAAAUAAGUUUAGACGUACUGUUCUCUUGGAGAACCUCUGUGUGGUUACUAAGUUUUUAAGCCUUGUGUGUGCAUACUAAUGUAUGAAUGAAGUUAAGAAAGAUCAUCGUCAUUUGAAAUGACUCUGCUGGGUACUAGCUAAGAGAAAGCACUUAACACAUAAGACAUUAAAAAUAACAUAGAUCCAUUAGUUUGAGAGUGAGACAUAGUAACAUAAAAACGUGGCACAUCAUUAGGAGUGUCAAACUAACACAAAUCCACAUCAAAGUUAAAAUAAAAUAAGCUAAUCGAUCGGAUCCAACAUGAGGUAAGCUAGAAAAAUAUAUACCCAGAGUCUUCAUCUUCAGAACUUGCUAUGCAGUCAUAAGCUUCCAUCAUAACCUUGUAAAUGAGAGACUCACAAUUUUCGAGAUGAGACCUGAUGAGACCAAACUGGGCCAUAGCAUCGUCAACAUGUGUAAUAUCAGGAGGGAAGAAAGCGGCAAAAAAGUACUCGAGAGUGCGGUUCUUGAAAUACUUCAAGAGUAGCGUGGCAUUUGACCUCAGUUGGUCGUGGCUCAAAUCUUCAGAGGAGCUAACCUCGGGUCGAUCCACCUUAUCCUCGACAAUCACUUCGUAAUCGUUCAAACUGAUCUCCAUAUUGUCAAUGCAUCUGCCAAUGCACCUUAUGGAAGCUCUGACCUCAUCUUUGGAGGUGGUCUGCAAUAAAAAAUAUGAGACACACCAAUAUAACAAUUUCAGGUAAAACCCAACUCAGAUCUAACAAUCCAACAUAAGAAAAAAAAAAAGAAGAAUCUUAAUAUACAGAAAAUGCUUACGGUUUUACGUAUGAAUGAUCUAAAAGACACAAGUUUUGUCUUAAAGCUCUGGUUUAACUCCAUGGUCGCCGCCUUGGCCGCUGCGAACUCUGGAAGAAUGGUAAAUGCAGAGGCUGCAUCAGAUUUCAAGGAAGAACUUUGCGACAUACUUUAUCGCCGAAUUUUCAGGUUAAUUUUCUUUCUUGCAAAUAAACCCUAAAACUCCUUUAUUUAUACACACCGUAAGUUUCGUAGUGGGCUACUAUUGGGCUCUAGUGAACUUGGGGAUCCACUCCACUAUGUUUCUUUAUUGCAUAAAAUGCAUACAUAUAUAUAUAUAUAUAUAUAUCUACUAAUAAUAACAAUCCUAAUUAAUUCCAAAGAUUGUGAAUUUCACUUAAGUUUAAAGAUUAUGUGUUCAUUUUAGAAGUUGUGACUAUUUAAUAUGAAUUUUUUUGACUUUUCAUAUAAUUAUCAUUAAAAAAAAAACAAUUUCAACUAAUUAAGAUUGUGAAUUUCACUUAAAUUAAGUUUUUUUGUUCAUUUUAAAAGUUGUGACUAGUUGACUUUUCAUAUAAGUAUCAUUUCAAAGAAAACAAUUUUAAUUAAUUUCAAAAGUUAUGAAUUCCACUUAAAUUGAAAGGUUAUGUGUUCAUUUUAAAAGUUUUGACUAUUUAGUAUGAAAAAAUUGUGACCUUUCACAUAAGUAUCAUUUCAAAAAAAAAAAACAGUCCAUAUUAAUUCCAAAAGUAGUAAAUUCCACUUAUUGAAUGGUUAUGUUUUCAUUUUAAAACUUGUGACUAUUAAAAAUGAAAAGUUGUGACUUUUCAUCUUAGUAUCAUUUCAAAAAGAACAUGUUUUAGAUUGAAAAGAUGUGACUAUUCAAAUAGAUUUUUGAAGUCUAUAAAUAGUUUAUGUCCAAGCCUUUCUCAAAGUAAAAUUUUACCAAUCUAAUAAAAUGGAAAGAAAAAAGUUAUGUGCCAUUACCUGAUUACAAACUUUUAGAAAAUAUUCAAAUGAAACAUUGUCAAACAAAAAAUAGUAGGAAGAGUUUUACGUGUUUGGAUAGCCAAAAUCCAGAAUGAAAAAAUGAAAUCAUUAGUUUUAAACUUUUAAUCUUCUUUUACAAGAUGAGAAGGUUUGUUUUCCAUACUAACAAAUUUUUUGUGAUAUGUACUUUUCAUGAACACAUGUUUCAUGUUCUAUUUCUUCCAACAAAAAUUACAUUCAUGUCGGUAUAGUUGAUACCAUUCACUAAACCUCACUAGAUCAGCCAGAUUCUUCACCAUCCGCCAUAGGUGCAUUCAAAUAAGAAUAUCUUUGCAACCAUGAGGAGUUUGACCGUGAAAUCACUUGCUAUAAUAGAUUAUCAACUCAACCAGAGCACGCGGCGAAUUGAUUUCAUACAGAAAGGAAAAAUGGUUUACGAGAUAUACCAUUUACAAGUCAGACGAACUGCACUAUAUACGAGCUGGUUCAAUUUAAGGAAAGUAAUUAUUUCUUCAAGGAGUGUGUACCUAAAACUCACGUGUGAAAACUAGGAAUAGAUUUUUUUCUUUAUUGGCUUUUUUUACUUCAUUACAUCUAAGACCACUUAGAGAGUUGAUACCAUGCAUUAAACCUCAUUGGAUCAGCCAGAUUCUUCACCAUCCGUCAUGGGUGCAUUCAAAGAAGGAUAUCUUUGCAACCAUGAGGAUUUUGACCGUGAAAAAAACUUGCUAUAAAUUCUCAACUCAACCAGAGCACGCGGCGAAUUGGUUUCAUACCAAAAGGAGUAAUGGUUUACGAGAUAUACCAUUUACAAGUCAGGCGACCUACACUGUAUUCGAGCUGGUUCUAUAUAAGGAAAAUAAUUAUUUGCUUAAGGAGUGUGUAACUCAAACUCACGUGUGGAAACCAGGAGAUCAUUCAUUACAUCUAAUACCACUUGGAGAGUUGAUACCAUGCACUAAACCUCUCUGGAUCAGCCAGAUUCUUCACCAUCCGACAUAGGUGCAUUCAAAGAAGGAUAUCUUUGAAACCAUGAGGAGUUUGACCGUGAAACCAUCUGCUAUAGAUUCUCAACUUAACAAGAGCACGCGGCGAAUUGGUUUCCUACCAAAAAGAUUAAUGAUUUACAAGAUAUACCAUUUACAAUUCAGGCGACCUACACUGCAUCUGAGCUGGUUAUAUUCAAGGAAAGUAAUUAUUUGCUUAAUGAGUGUGUAAAUUAAACUCACGUGUUAAAACAAGGAGACAUUCAUUACAUCUAAUACCAUUUGGAGAGUUGAUACCAUGCACUAAAGCUCACUGGAUCAGCCAGAUUCUUCACCAUCCGACAUAGGUGCAUUCAAAGAAGGAUAUAUUUGAAACCAUGAGAAGUUUGACCGUGAAACCAUCUGCUAUAGAUUCUCAGCUCAACAAGAGCACGCGGCGAAUUGGUUUCCUACCAAAAGGAUUAAUUAUAUACAAGAUAUACCAUUUACAAUUCAGGCGACCUACACUGCAUCCGAGCUGGUUCUAUUCAAGGAAAGUAAUUAUUUGCUUAAUGAGUGUGUAAAUUAAACUCACGUGUUAAAACAAGGAGACAUUCAUUACAUCUAAUACCAUUUGGAGAGUUGAUACCAUGCACUAAAGCUCACUGGAUCAGCCAGAUUCUUCACCAUCCGACAUAGGUGCAUUCAAAGAAGGAUAUCUUUGAAACCAUGAGGAGUUUGACCGUGAAACCAUCUGCUAUAGAUUAUCAACUCAACAAGAGCACGCGGCCAAUUGGUUUCAUACCAAAAGGAUUAAUGAUUUACAAAAGGCAAAAGAAUCUCGAAACAGCAAAAGGCAGGACAACCUUGUGUAACAAGAAAAAAACUUAUAAAAAGUUCAACAUCGGAGAUAAACUGUGACAACUCUCGGCAAAAGAAUCUCGAAACAAACUUUCUUUCGAUUAGCUCUUGAGGAUUCCAGAUGACGAAACCAUUGUUGCUUUUGCUCCAUGAGAUUAUUGAAUCCAACAAGGAUCAUCCACCACCUCGUAUAUAUCGCUGUAAAACGAACACAAUCCCUUUGGAUAUUCGUGAACCAUCUCUACUACACACCAAAAGAACAGAUGUGACGCCUAUCUCAAACCCUAACAUGGUAGAAGAAAACACUAAUCUUAUAACAUACUAGCCCCCAAUUCGUUUUCUUGUGAGUAAAAUUUGUUUCGAUUAUUAUUUGGUUUAGUAAUGAUCUAAACCAGCUUAAGCAGGGUCAACUAAAAUACCGGAAUGAUCAAGAAAGCUCUUGACAAAAGAGAGGAAUGCAGACUACAUGGAGAGUUUCAGAAUGUGACCAGAAACCAUGCAUCACAAGUUAGCUGGGUUAGCCUGGUUUCUCAGGUGUAGAGACGUGGAUCACAGUGGAUAAAGAACACAGAAAAACACACAGUUGAGAAGGCUGCGAAGAUGCUAUUUGUAAGGCUACGCCUACUAAUAGAAGACAUUCUUGUAGGGGUUGCAGCCACAGUUUUUCCUUGGCAUUCACAAGACUUUUGGUUGUUGUUAGUAAGAGAUGUUGAGGGGACAUUCAUCGCAACUCAUAAGAGAUGAAGCUACCAUUUAAAUCUUGAUGUUUGAUGAUUAUUUUACAGAAUAGCAUCAAAUAUAGGUCAAGAAGAAAUACAUGUAUCCUUUUCUAAUAUUAUUAUUUUAAUAAAGCCUUGAUGCAAGAAAGCAACUGAAACAAGAACAAGUGCUACAUGUGCAGUGAUCAAAUUUGUAGAUGUCGGAAGCUGUUCUCCAGUGGCGUUUUAGCUUUGGUUGAAUGCCCCAUAAUUUGGUCGAACCUAAUACGUGCAUCUUCGAGACACAUCUUCCUAUAAGAAGGUUGAUCUCCCACACAGCCCUUCUUCUCUGCUUCUGCUUUAGCUCUAGCUUUGGCUGCCUUGAGAUCUUUCUUCACCCUACCCCAGGCAACUUUGCGACGCAGCUUAAUCAUAAGCUCAGGUUUACCUCUCACAAAGUAUUGCUCAUGUCCAAAUUCCAAGUGCUCAUCAGACCCCUUAAUUCUUACAAAUCCCUACCAACCAGCAAGAAGCUCAGAUUUUAAAACCCGCAAAGAUUCCAAAAAAAAAAUCGGGUGAUACCAUAUUAUAAAAUAAAACAUACAUGGGAUUUAAGAUCUUUGAUAAAAUGUGACAACUUGUUGCGAAAGAAUCUCCUAAGAAUCUUUUUCUCGACAAGCUCUUUAGGAUCCCAGAUGACAAAACUCUUGUUGCUUUCGCUCCAUGAGAUUAUUGAAUCCAGUGAUGGAUCAUCCACCACCUUGUAUAUACCUGUGUAAAACUGAGACAGCGACAUCCACGCCAUAGCUCUUCAAACCCUAGAACAAACGAACGUGAAAAAAUAAUCCAAGAUAUCGACACCAACCCUAAUUAUCAAGAAAAGCGUGUGGGACCAUAUACAGUAUAUCUUAUUUCUUUGGGCUAUUUUUGGGUUUUUGCAUUCAUUUUCUUAUGCUCAUUGGGCUCUCAUUCUGCUUGGAUUAAUUCGUUAAUUUAACUUACCUUUGUGUGUGGUUAUUAAUCCCUGUUCUAAAACGCGGCCGCUGUGACCGGAUUUGCGGUGGUUAAACGCUCGGCGGUGCCUGUCCGUGGCAAUUGCCACCUACUCGGCCAACUAGGCGGCUAGUUGAAAAGUAAACUAUAUAUUGUGGAGUAUAUUAUGUUUCCUUGGCAUUCACAAGAAUUUUGUGUUGUUGUCAGCAAAAGACAUUCAUCACAAUUUUAUAAAGAGGAAAGCAACCAUUUAAAUAUUACACAAAGUAACUUGACAAGGUUUGAUACAGAAUAGCAAUAGAAGGUCAAAUAAAGGUUAAGCAAAACAUGCAUUGUUUUACUGGAAAGCCUCAAUUAUUUUAGCAAAGUCUAAUUAUUUUAGCAAAGUCUAGGGAGCAACUGGAACAAGUGAUCAAAUUCGUAGAUGUCGGAAGCGAUUCUCUAGUGGCGUUUUAGCAAUCGUUGAUGAUGAUGAUUCAAAUAUUUGCUUGUACCUCAUCCUUACUUCGUCGGCAUCUAUUAUAAUCCGAGGCUCACGUCUCACAGUCAUAGAGCCGUUUUUCUCUGCUUCAGCUCUAGCUUUGGCUUUCUUGGCACUUUUCUUCAUCCUAUUCAUCGCAGCUUGGAGACGCAUCUUCUUCAAAAGCUCAGGUUUACCUCUCACAAAGUACUGCUUAUG
RNAcentral lists this long non-coding RNA (12219 nucleotides) under Brassica rapa (field mustard). RNAcentral's name for it is "long non-coding RNA (BRAP_LNC000121)". The record is from RNAcentral. Lineage: Eukaryota; Viridiplantae; Streptophyta; Magnoliopsida; Brassicales; Brassicaceae.